RNAcentral lists this ribosomal RNA (562 nucleotides) under fungal sp. 212b. RNAcentral's name for it is "eukaryotic LSU rRNA". The stretch from base 220 to 373 matches the Rfam family "5.8S ribosomal RNA". Lineage: Eukaryota; Fungi. The record is from RNAcentral.
AAGUCGUAACAAGGUUUCCGUAGGUGAACCUGCGGAAGGAUCAUUACAGUAGUCACCCAGGUUGCCGCAAGGCCUCCUGGGUAACCUACCACCCUUUGUUUAUUACACUUUGUUGCUUUGGCAAGCCUGCCCUCGGGCUGCUGGCUCCGGCCGGCGAGCGCUUGCCAGAGGACCUAAACUCUGUUUGUCUAUACUGUCUGAGUACUAUAUAAUAGUUAAAACUUUCAACAACGGAUCUCUUGGUUCUGGCAUCGAUGAAGAACGCAGCGAAAUGCGAUAAGUAAUGUGAAUUGCAGAAUUCAGUGAAUCAUCGAAUCUUUGAACGCACAUUGCGCCCCCUGGUAUUCCGGGGGGCAUGCCUGUCCGAGCGUCAUUACAACCCUCAAGCUCAGCUUGGUAUUGGGCCCCGCCGACCCGGCGGGCCCUAAAGUCAGUGGCGGUGCCGUCCGGCUCCGAGCGUAGUAAUUCUUCUCGCUCUGGAGGCCCGGUCGUGUGCUCGCCAGCAACCCCCAAUUUUUUUCAGGUUGACCUCGGAUCAGGUAGGGAUACCCGCUGAACUUAA